Long non-coding RNA from Monodelphis domestica (gray short-tailed opossum), 1036 nucleotides. RefSeq lists it as uncharacterized. The record is from RefSeq and is a predicted model, not a curated record. NCBI's taxonomy places the organism in Eukaryota, Metazoa, Chordata, Mammalia, Didelphimorphia, Didelphidae.
UAGACAACAAGCGUGUGUCUGAUCAUUCCGGGGGCUAGCAUUUCCUGUUGUGAAUUCCCCAGCCGCUCUGGGCUGGGAACCUGAAGAGCACAUCCAAGAAGCAAAGACAGAACGAAACUGUUGGGGGGCAAAGUAAAUAAAUUCGGAGACUCGUGGGGAGCCAGUGAAACGGGUUAUUGAGUAGGCACUGAGUAAGUAAGAGGAGACACCCUCAGAUCAGGGAAGAAUUGAAGGCCAUGAUCAUUUUGAAAGUGCGUCUUUGACGAUGAUGGCAGCCUGGAGCUUGGUGCCAACUAGACCUGGUUGUGAAAGUAAAGGUCAAUAUUUAGGACAAUUUGCUGCAACACACAGACAAGAAGGUUAGGAAUUGGAUUUUCAAGUCAUUACAAGGACUGAAAGUCUAGUCACACACCUGGAAAACAACAUUGUUAGACCAAAGCAAUGCAAUGAUCCAGGACAAUUCUGAGGGACUUAUGAAAAAGAUGGUAUCCACAUCCAGAGGAAGAACUGUGGGAGCAGAAACACAGAAGAUAAACAACUGCUUGAUCACAUGGGUCAAUGGGGACAUGAUUGGGAAUAUAGACUCUAAAUGAUCACUCUAGUGCAAGCAUUAAUAAUAUGGAAAUAGGUCUUUACACAUGUAAACCCCAGUGGAAUUGUGCAUCAGCUAUAGCUGGGGACAAGGGGGGAGGGGGGUAAGGGAGGGAAAAAACAUGACACUUGUAACCAAGGAAAAAUAUUAAAAAUUAAUUAAUUAAAUAAAAUUAUCCAAAUAAAAAAAUGUAAGUACUCUUGGAAGUGCUCACAUUAACUUAAAUUUGAAAAGCAUAAAACACCAAGAUGGAGGGAAUUCUAAAGAUCUGAUAAGGACACUGAGAAUCAGAAAAGUCAAAUGUUUUCCAAGAUCAGAUGAUCCCACUGAUGGUGAAGCCAGGAUCAGAGCACAAGUUGUUUUUUGGGUUUUUUUUUGUUUGUUUGUUUACUCUCCAUCCAUUAUUCUUCCUGCUAAAUCACUUUGCUUCAUUAAAGUAAUAAA